GAUGAACGCUAGCGGCAGGCCUAAUACAUGCAAGUCGAGGGAGAAUGUUGGAUUCGUCUGACAUGAAACCGGCGCACGGGUGCGUAACACGUAUGCAACCUACCUUUAACUGGGGUAUAGCUCAGAGAAAUCUGAAUUAAUCCCCCAUAAGACUACGACAUGGCAUCAUGAUGUAGUUAAAGCUCCGGCGGUUAAGGAUGGGCAUGCGGUACAUUAGGUAGUUGGGGAGGUAAUGGCUCACCAAGGCUAAGAUGUAUAGGGGGUCUGAGAGGGUGAUCCCCCACACUGGUACUGAGACACGGACCAGACUCCUACGGGAGGCAGCAGUAGGGAAUAUUGGUCAAUGGACGCAAGUCUGAACCAGCCAUGCCGCGUGAAGGAUGAAGGCCCUAUGGGUCGUAAACUUCUUUUAUUAGGGAAGAAAAAACGGGAUGCGUCCUGUACUGACGGUACUUAAUGAAUAAGGAUCGGCUAACUUCGUGCCAGCCGCCGCCGUAA
This 498-nucleotide ribosomal RNA is filed under the name uncultured bacterium. Its description in RNAcentral is "partial 16S ribosomal RNA". It matches the Rfam family "Bacterial small subunit ribosomal RNA", at positions 28 to 523 of the family's 1533-position model. The record is from RNAcentral.